ACCGGUGGAACGAGCGGNGGACGGGUGAGUAACACGUGGGCAACCUGCCGGACUGAUGGGAAUAACCCCGGGAAACCGGGGCUAAUGCCCAAUACGCCCUGACCUCGCCUGAGGUCAGCGGUAAAGCAGGGAUCUUCGGAUCCUUGCACAGUCCGAUGGGCCCGCGGCGCAUUAGCUAGUUGGAGAGGUAAGGGCUCCCCAAGGCGACGAUGCGUAGCCGACCUGAGAGGGUGAUCGGCCACACUGGGACUGAGACACGGCCCAGACUCCUACGGGAGGCAGCAGUAGGGAAUCAUCCGCAAUGGGCGAAAGCCUGACGGUGCAACGCCGCGUGAGUGAUGAAGGUUUUCGGAUCGUAAAGCUCUGUUGACAGGGAAGAACCCACGCCAGUCGAACAGGCUGGCGUGCUGACGGUACCUGUCCAGAAAGCCCCGGCUAACUACGUGCCAGCAGCCGCGGUAAUACGUAGGGGGCAAGCGUUGUCCGGAAUUAUUGGGCGUAAAGGGCACGCAGGCGGUUUCGUCAGUCCGAUGUGACAGGCCACGGCUCAACCGUGGAAGGCCAUUGGAAACUGCGAAACUUGAGGACAGAAGAGGAGAGUGGAAUUCCACGUGUAGCGGUGAAAUGCGUAGAUAUGUGGAGGAACACCAGUGGCGAAGGCGACUCUCUGGUCUGUACCUGACGCUGAGGUGCGAAAGCAUGGGGAGCAAACAGGAUUAGAUACCCUGGUAGUCCAUGCCGUAAACGCUGAGUGCUAGGUGUUAGGGGUUUCGAUACCCGUAGUGCCGAAGCUAACGCAUUAAGCACUCCGCCUGGGGAGUACGACCGCAAGGUUGAAACUCAAAGGAAUUGACGGGGGCCCGCACAAGCGGUGGAGCAUGUGGUUUAAUUCGACGCAACGCGAAGAACCUUACCAGAUCUUGACAUCUUCCGCUACGCCUCGAGAGAGGCGGUUCCCCUUCGGGGGACGGAAUGACAGGUGGUGCAUGGUUGUCGUCAGCUCGUGUCGUGAGAUGUUGGGUUAAGUCCCGCAACGAGCGCAACCCC
RNAcentral lists this ribosomal RNA (1047 nucleotides) under Marinococcus luteus. RNAcentral describes it as "bacterial SSU rRNA". It matches the Rfam family "Bacterial small subunit ribosomal RNA", at positions 82 to 1105 of the family's 1533-position model. Lineage: Bacteria; Bacillati; Bacillota; Bacilli; Caryophanales; Bacillaceae. The record is from RNAcentral.